This 383-nucleotide ribosomal RNA is filed under the name uncultured cyanobacterium. RNAcentral's name for it is "bacterial SSU rRNA". It matches the Rfam family "Bacterial small subunit ribosomal RNA", at positions 376 to 774 of the family's 1533-position model. The record is from RNAcentral. Lineage: Bacteria; Bacillati; Cyanobacteriota.
CGAAAGCCUGACGGAGCAACGCCGCGUGAGGGACGAAGGCCUCUGGGCUGUAAACCUCUUUUCUCAAGGAAGAAGAUAUGACGGUACUUGAGGAAUAAGCCACGGCUAAUUCCGUGCCAGCAGCCGCGGUAAUACGGGAGUGGCAAGCGUUAUCCGGAAUUAUUGGGCGUAAAGCGUCCGCAGGCGGCUUUUCAAGUCUGCUGUUAAAGCGUGGAGCUUAACUCCAUCAUGGCAGUGGAAACUGAAAGGCUUGAGUAUGGUAGGGGCAGAGGGAAUUCCCGGUGUAGCGGUGAAAUGCGUAGAUAUCGGGAAGAACACCAGUGGCGAAGGCGCUCUGCUGGGCCAUUACUGACGCUCAUGGACGAAAGCCAGGGGAGCGAAAG